ACUCCUAGCCUGACUAUUGGACCAAUCUAUAUAAACAUAGAAGCAACACUGUUAAUAUGAGUAACAAGAAAUUUUUCUCCUAGCACAAGCUUAUAUCAGCAACUGAUAAUAUACUGAUAAUUAACAGCAAAUAAAUAAAACCCAACACUAAAUUAUUUAUUAAGACACUGUUAACCCAACACAGGUGUGCAUUAAGGAAAGAUUAAAAAAAGUAAAAGGAACUCGGCAAACACAAACCCCGCCUGUUUACCAAAAACAUCACCUCUAGCAUAACCAGUAUUAGAGGCACUGCCUGCCCGGUGACUAGUCGUUAAACGGCCGCGGUAUCCUGACCGUGCAAAGGUAGCAUAAUCACUUGUUCUCUAAUUAAGGACUUGUAUGAAUGGCCACACGAGGGUUUUACUGUCUCUUACUUUUAAUUAGUGAAAUUGACCUCUCCGUGAAGAGGCGGAGAUAACAAAAUAAGACGAGAAGACCCUAUGGAGCUUCAAUUAAUCAACCCAAUAAAUCACAACCUUAAACCACCAAGGGACAACAAAAUUUUAUGUGGGUUGACAAUUUCGGUUGGGGUGACCUCGGAGCACAAAAAACCCUCCGAGUGAUUAAAACUUAGGCCCACUAGCCAAAGUGUAGUAUCAUUUAUUGAUCCAAUCUUUUGAUCAACGGAACAAGUUACCCUAGGGAUAACAGCGCAAUCCUAUUCUAGAGUUCAUAUCGACAAUAGGGUUUACGACCUCGAUGUUGGAUCAGGACAUCCUAAUGGUGCAACC
RNAcentral lists this ribosomal RNA (770 nucleotides) under Megaptera novaeangliae (humpback whale). RNAcentral's name for it is "partial 16S ribosomal RNA". It matches the Rfam family "Bacterial large subunit ribosomal RNA", at positions 1470 to 2560 of the family's 2925-position model. The record is from RNAcentral. Lineage: Eukaryota; Metazoa; Chordata; Mammalia; Artiodactyla; Balaenopteridae.